This 301-nucleotide ribosomal RNA is filed under the name uncultured bacterium. RNAcentral describes it as "partial 16S ribosomal RNA". It matches the Rfam family "Bacterial small subunit ribosomal RNA", at positions 509 to 809 of the family's 1533-position model. The record is from RNAcentral.
CAGUCGCCACGGGAAUACGUAGGUGGCGAGCGUUGUCCGGAUCUAUUGGGCGUAAAGGGAGUGUAGGCGGUCUUUUAAGUCUGAUGUGAAAGCCCACGGCUCAACCGUGGAGGGUCAUUGGAAACUGGGAGACUUGAGUGCAGAAGAGGAGAGUGGAAUUCCACGUGUAGCGGUGAAAUGCGUAGAGAUGUGGAGGAACACCAGUGGCGAAGGCGACUCUCUGGUCUGUAACUGACGCUGAGGAGCGAAAGCGUGGGGAGCGAACAGGAUUAGAUACCCGAGUAGUCCCUGUCUCUUAUAA